CUCAGGCCAUAAUGACGAGACUAUAUUUUCUACCAACCAUACUGCUGAUGAUCCAUUUGAUCUUGAUUCUAACAUCCGGCACCCUAGUUGGUCAUGGUUGCACCUAUGACCCCAACGGCGUUCCAAUGGAUUGCCCAGAGACGAAUCCAGGACCUGGGUGUUCGCGUCCGCCGUGUGGCCCAUGACAACGGAUAGUUAUGAAAUGUGUCUAGACUUUUGUGAGAUCGCUCCGAAUUUGACGUCAAGUGCACGGGUUUGUAUCCAGUUCGACAAGAUCUUUAUGUACCCCAUCCAUUUAAAUGUAAU
This 306-nucleotide ribosomal RNA is filed under the name Triticum aestivum (bread wheat). Its description in RNAcentral is "partial small subunit ribosomal RNA". The record is from RNAcentral. Lineage: Eukaryota; Viridiplantae; Streptophyta; Magnoliopsida; Poales; Poaceae.